RNAcentral lists this ribosomal RNA (468 nucleotides) under uncultured bacterium. RNAcentral describes it as "partial 16S ribosomal RNA". It matches the Rfam family "Bacterial small subunit ribosomal RNA", at positions 28 to 507 of the family's 1533-position model. The record is from RNAcentral.
GACGAACGCUGGCGGCGUGCUUAACACAUGCAAGUCGAACGGAAAGGCCCUGCUUUGGUGGGGUGCUCGAGUUGCGAACGGGUGAGUAACACGUGAGUAACCUGCCCUUGACUUUGGGGUAACUUCAUGAAACUGGGGCUAAUACCGGAUAGGAGCUCCUGCUGCAUGGUGGGGGUUGGAAAGUUUCGGCGGUUGGUGAUGGACUCGCGGCUUAUCAGCUUGUUGGUUGGGUAGUGGAUUACCAAGGCUUGGACGGGUAGCCGACCUGGGCGGGUAACCGGCCACAUCAGGACUGAGCUGCGACACAGCCUCCUCCGGGAGGCAGCGGUGGAGUAUAUUGCACAAUGCGCGGAAGCAUGAUGCAGCACCGCAGCGUGCGGGAUGAGAGCAUUCGGGUUGUAAACCGCUUUCGCCUGUGACGAGACGUGAAUGACGGUAAUGGGUAAAGAAGCACCGGCUAACUACGUG